GACGAACGCUGGCGGCGUGCCUAAUACAUGCAAGUAGAACGCUGAAGAGAGGAGCUUGCUCUUCUUGGAUGAGUUGCGAACGGGUGAGUAACGCGUAGGUAACCUGCCUGGUAGCGGGGGAUAACUAUUGGAAACGAUAGCUAAUACCGCAUGAAAUUGCUUAUCGCAUGAUAAUUGAUUGAAAGAUGCAAUUGCAUCACUACCAGAUGGACCUGCGUUGUAUUAGCUAGUUGGUGAGGUAACGGCUCACCAAGGCGACGAUACAUAGCCGACCUGAGAGGGUGAUCGGCCACACUGGGACUGAGACACGGCCCAGACUCCUACGGGAGGCAGCAGUAGGGAAUCUUCGGCAAUGGGGGGAACCCUGACCGAGCAACGCCGCGUGAGUGAAGAAGGUUUUCGGAUCGUAAAGCUCUGUUGUAAGAGAAGAACGGGUGUGAGAGUGGAAAGUUCACAUUGUGACGGUAUCUUACCAGAAAGGGACGGCUAACUACGU
RNAcentral lists this ribosomal RNA (496 nucleotides) under uncultured bacterium. RNAcentral describes it as "partial 16S ribosomal RNA". It matches the Rfam family "Bacterial small subunit ribosomal RNA", at positions 28 to 506 of the family's 1533-position model. The record is from RNAcentral.